This 516-nucleotide RNase MRP RNA is filed under the name Pseudocercospora eumusae. Its description in RNAcentral is "Mycosphaerella eumusae RNase MRP". It matches the Rfam family "RNase MRP". From Rfam's summary of the family: RNase MRP is an enzymatically active ribonucleoprotein with two distinct roles in eukaryotes. In mitochondria it plays a direct role in the initiation of mitochondrial DNA replication. In the nucleus it is involved in precursor rRNA processing, where it cleaves the internal transcribed spacer 1 between 18S and 5.8S rRNAs. Lineage: Eukaryota; Fungi; Ascomycota; Dothideomycetes; Mycosphaerellales; Mycosphaerellaceae. The record is from Rfam by way of RNAcentral.
CUCUCGCUCAAAAAAUCGCAGUCGAAGCUCACACACCGACAGCACCUCGUGUGCUCGUCUACCCACACACAGCUUUGGGAGAAAGUCCCCGGACGCCUUGCACUUGCUGCAAGUUAGCGGAAACGCGCCGCCACAGAAGCAUCUUGCGGCUCAUCCCCUCGAGACCUCCAUCCUCCUUCAUCACCCUCUAUCGUACGCACUCUUGCACGGAAGCGCCAUGGCUCGGAUCGCACCUGGUCUGGAGACACGUCGCUUUCGGGCGGCGGCUCGGCAACGAGAGACGAUGAUAUGAGUCUGCUUUCCUGGUCAGCCGGUCUUGCUGCUUUGGCGCUGAAGGGCAGGAGGAGAUAGUGGGAUCACUGGUGGGGACAAGUUGGGCUCAAGGUCAAGAGGCGGAGUUCAUCGUCGUGGUCAACAGUUAUGCGAUUGCUCGCAUCUUUCACCUCUCCUCUGAAACUCUUCUUGGUCUGGUGCUGGAUCGCGAGUAACUCGAUGGGGCUUAUUCUUGGUGCGAGA